CUUGUGGGCAAAAUGGGUUCUUCUAGACUUAUUCUUUUAUUCUAUUUGUAUCAUUCAUGGAGUGAAGUGCUCUGUACUCCAACUGAACGUGUCUCCCAUGUGUCUGAUUGGAGUAAUGCUGGGCAACUACUGCAAAAACACAAAGGACCGACUGAACAUGACAAUUCUCACUUCCCUCAGAAACCUAGUUUCAGGGCUCAUGUGAAGUCAAGUUCGUCUGUUUCCUUGAGAAAACCGACUGCUCUAGUGGAAAGCAGCAUUUGGCAAUCAUCUGUAAAAAAAGCACAUCCUAAGGAACCCAGUUCUUCCUUUGUUUCUGAGAAGUCCAGCUCCCUUUCUGUGAAGAAACCCAGUUUUUCUCUCCAAUCUGAAAAACCUAGUGCUCCUAAGCAAUCAAGUUCUUCCUACCCUUCUGAGAUGUCUGGCUCUAACCCUGAGAGACCCAAAGCUCCUACUGAACACCGAUCUAAGCUAAAGACCCCAAGUUCUCCUCUCCCUGUGAAAUCAAGUAUUCUCUUCUCAAAGGUCAGUUCUAAACCUAAGAAACCUGGAGCUCUGAUGGGACCCAUUUUUUUACUUCCAUCUGAAAAAUUCAGCUCUAAACCGGAGAAAUCUAGUGCUCCUAUGCAACAACAUUCUAAGCCAGAGAUCCCAAGUUCUCUUCUCCCAGUGAAACCAAGCGUUUUCUUAAAGCCCAGUUCUAAACCUGUGAAACCUAGUUCUUCCAUUCCAUCUGAGAAGUCUAGCCCCCUCCCCACUGAGAAACCCAGUUCUAAACCUGAACAACCUAGUGCUCCCACGGAACCCAGUUUCUCCCUCCCCACUGAGAAACCCAGUUCUAAACCUGAACAACCUAGUGCUUCCACGGAACCCAGUUUCUCCCUCCCCACUGAGAAACCCAGUUCUAAACCUGAACAACCUAGUGCUCCAACGGAACCCAGUUUUUCCCUCCCCACUGAGAAACCCAGUUCUAAACCUGAACAACCCAGUUUUUCCCUCCCCACUGAGAAACCCAGUUCUAAACCUGAACAACCUAGUGCUCCAACGGAACCACGUUCCUCCCUCCCCACUGAGAAGUCUAGCUCUCUUCCCUCUGAGAAACCGUUAUAAACCGGAGAAAGCUAGUGAUGCUAUACAAUCCAGUUCUUCCCCUUCUCGUUAGAAGUCUAGCAUUAAACCUGUAAAAACCAAUUUUUAAAUGUUGGUCUCUUCCCUCUAAGAACUUGACUUCUAAAUGUAAAAUACCCAGUUCCCUGACUAGUUUUUCCUUUUAACUCUUAGAAAAUUCUAGUUUGUCUCUGGAAUCCAGUUCUCCCCCUGUUCACACAAGUGUUGAUUCUGGAAGAACAAGCCACUCAUGUGUUGGUAAUUAAAUUUGUUUUUGUGUGCCACCAUACAAAAUAAAUUAUCAGAUUGUUUUGGAAUGCUUUGCAUUGUGACUUUUUCUGUGUUAAGGAUAGUUAUUGGCUGGUCCUUUUGUGAGUGAAAGGCCUGUCUCAAAGUGUUGAACAAAUUUGUUUCAAAGCAAAACCAGUCCAACUCUCUUAAGAUUGGGUUCAGUGACCUGUCUAUUCAGGGCUUGAUUUAACUCUGAAUACAUGCAUAUAAUUGUUACAUUUACAGCAAACAGUGAAUUAUGCAAGACAUUGUGAGUGCAUGGAUUGUCUUGAAUGGAGAUUAUGAAAAAUAGGAAUUAAAAUACAUUUGGCAGAAAGAAAUACUGAUUUUGCAAGAAAUUCUGUUUUUUUUUGUUUGUUUUUUUACCCACAGUGACCACUAAAGACAAGUUUAUAGUUCCUAGACUCCCCAAUAACAAACACUUUACAUGCCCA
This is a long non-coding RNA of Sinocyclocheilus grahami, 1832 nucleotides long. Ensembl annotates it as proteoglycan 4-like. The record is from Ensembl. NCBI's taxonomy places the organism in Eukaryota, Metazoa, Chordata, Actinopteri, Cypriniformes, Cyprinidae.